UUUAGAGUUUGAUCCUGGCUCAGGAUGAACGCUGGCGGCGUGCCUAAUACAUGCAAGUCGAACGAACUUCCGUUAAUUGAUUAUGACGUACUUGUACUGAUUGAGAUUUUAACACGAAGUGAGUGGCGAACGGGUGAGUAACACGUGGGUAACCUGCCCAGAAGUAGGGGAUAACACCUGGAAACAGAUGCUAAUACCGUAUAACAGAGAAAACCGCAUGGUUUUCUUUUAAAAGAUGGCUCUGCUAUCACUUCUGGAUGGACCCGCGGCGUAUUAGCUAGUUGGUGAGGUAAAGGCUCACCAAGGCAGUGAUACGUAGCCGACCUGAGAGGGUAAUCGGCCACAUUGGGACUGAGACACGGCCCAGACUCCUACGGGAGGCAGCAGUAGGGAAUCUUCCACAAUGGACGCAAGUCUGAUGGAGCAACGCCGCGUGAGUGAAGAAGGGUUUCGGCUCGUAAAGCUCUGUUGUUAAAGAAGAACGUGGGUAAGAGUAACUGUUACCCAGUGACGGUAU
Molecule: ribosomal RNA, 517 nt
Filed under: Pediococcus pentosaceus
Lineage: Bacteria; Bacillati; Bacillota; Bacilli; Lactobacillales; Lactobacillaceae
Description: bacterial SSU rRNA
Rfam family: Bacterial small subunit ribosomal RNA
Source: RNAcentral